Molecule: ribosomal RNA, 1967 nt
Filed under: Triticum aestivum (bread wheat)
Lineage: Eukaryota; Viridiplantae; Streptophyta; Magnoliopsida; Poales; Poaceae
Description: partial small subunit ribosomal RNA
Source: RNAcentral
CAAGCGUCCGUUGCUCCGGUGACACGAUCAGUGAGUGAGUGUACCGAACCGCGGAGCGAUGGCCGGCGACCAGACAGACGCACUCGACGACCGCCGUAGCGAGGUUUCAGACGACGGUGGGUGGCUCCUAGUCGGUUGUCUUUUGUGGAGAAGAGUAGGGCGGCAGGCGCGCACACGCACGAGACGAGCGUGCGUACUGUACGGACGAGCACGGCCGACAGCGUACGCGACGGGGGCGGGGGCGGCCUGUAUUUUGGUGGCCGGUGCCAGCGGGCGUCGGGUUCUAUUCCCACUGCGCACCGCACUCUUCGUUCCACAGACGACGGUCCCGGCCUUACCUGCCUCCAUGCAGCCGCGGCGGCGGACUCGGCCGGUAGCGCGGCCUGCGGCAGUAGUUGGAGCUCGAGCCGCUGGGCUGGUACAUGCUCCGCAAGACCUCCCUCCAGCCCCUCGCCCGCCGCCACCGCUAGGGCCCCACCAGCCCCUACUCGAUGAAGAGGUUACGGGUCUCGGAGACGACCAAGGAGCUGGGCCUCAAGCUCGCGCUCCAGGCGGCGCAGGUGGCGGAGCAGCCGUUGCGGCGGCAGCUGCUGCCGAUGGUGGAGCACCAGCCGUGGCCGCGGUGGGUCGAGAAGGUCCGCCGGUACAUGCGGGACAGAGGGCGGCCGCGGGUUACCGGGCAGCCGCAGCAGAGCGGCCGCGGGAUGAUGAGCAGCAUGGGCGGCGUCUGCCUGGACGACGAGAGCCCCAAGAUGGCCACCCGGCCGCUGCGGUUGCGCAAGCUGCCGCUGCCGGUGUAGCUCGACCAGACGAGCGGGUUGUUGGGCCUGCCGCGGUAGGCGCUCCGGCAGGACUCGAGGCUCAGGCCGUUCCGCUAGGUGCUGGACCAUAUGAUGACUGGAGUCAUGUGCGGGUAGUGGCCGCGGCGGCGGGUGCUGUAGUACGAGAAGUGGUACAGGUUCCAGUGACCGGUGCGGCCGCGGUCCGAGCCCACCCGCGAGCAGUUCCUGGCGCUGCACCGGUUCUUCUACCAGAUGAAGCACCUGGCCUCGUGGUAGCCGCACAGGUUCCUGAGCGUCGAGGCGCCGCGGUUCUAGGAGCGGCAGCAGAGGCUGCGGAUGCCUGGGCUGCUCCUCCUGCUGUGCGCCGAGGCCGAGAAGCUGAAGCGCGCGGCAGCGUACCUCCUCGCGACCGCCCGGGACGCGCGGCGGCACCGCCGGUGGCCGCGGAAGUCGGAGGGCCUCCUCUGGCGGCCGGUGACGUUGAAGUCGUCCGUUUGGCACCGUCGAAUGGGGCGCAAGCGCACCGACGCGACGCUCUUCCUACCGCACCUCCUGACGCGGCUCAAGGAGGCGCCGGUGCCGUAGCACCGCGCCCCUCCCCUCGUCAAGCCCCCUCUGCGGUCCACGCAGUCCCAGUUGUACGACCUGUCCCUGCCACACAAGCUGCACGAGUAUCUGGCGGAGAAGAGGUAUUGUACUAAUGGUACUCCUACGUUUCGGUCUCGAUAGUACGCUUGUCUUACGAAGCCUAAUUAAGCCUCUUGUUUUGCUUUUGCUUACCUCACCUAAAGCUACCAGAGUGGGCGAAUAUUAGAGAGACAUAUACCUUGCUGACCACGCUCAAAACUUCAAAUUUUAAAAGGAACUCCGAAUUGAGGGAUUUUUACAAAACGAUGAGGGAGGCAGACUAUAAUUGACAACGAUUUUACUCACAUAGAUGUGUGACUUUGUGCAGAUCUAUGUGAGUAAUUCUUAUUCGAGCGUAAGAUUGAACUAGGGAUUUUAAAUUGAUGAAAAGAAGUAAUUGACCAACAUCUAGGAGUAAAGGAAAACGCUUGAAUUUGAGGAAAAUUUGAUAAAAAACUGUAAUUUCAAGUUUGCAAACGGCAGUUGCUACUUUUGUAAAUUAUGAUAAAUUAUGAAGAUAAAUUAAAAAAAUCUUUUAUGCAUGGUUCGUGUUAUCUA